RNAcentral lists this ribosomal RNA (247 nucleotides) under uncultured bacterium. RNAcentral describes it as "partial small subunit ribosomal RNA". It matches the Rfam family "Bacterial small subunit ribosomal RNA", at positions 26 to 278 of the family's 1533-position model. The record is from RNAcentral.
AGGACGAACGCUGGCGGCGUGCUUAACACAUGCAAGUCGAGCGGUAAGGCCCUUCGGGGUACACGAGCGGCGAACGGGUGAGUAACACGUGGGUGACCUGCCCUCAGCUCUGGGAUAAGCCCGGGAAACUGGGUCUAAUACCGGAUAUGACCUCUCAUCGCAUGGUGAGUGGUGGAAAGUUUUUCGGCUGGGGAUGGGCCCGCGGCCUAUCAGCUUGUUGGUGGGGUGAUGGCCUACCAAGGCGACG